Molecule: unclassified non-coding RNA, 424 nt
Filed under: Lasianthus appressus
Lineage: Eukaryota; Viridiplantae; Streptophyta; Magnoliopsida; Gentianales; Rubiaceae
Description: partial external transcribed spacer
Source: RNAcentral
GCAGGAUCAACCAGGUAGCAUUCAUCGCUGACAAUACCCGACGGGGCAUGCAAAUACCACGACGAGAGUCAAUCAGUUGGGACAAAAAUCACUCGUUACGGGCCAAGACGAGGCGAUGCCGUCGUACCCAAUGCACAUUCCGUAUCCGAGAGCUCAAGCGAGCGUUCGUGGGCCAAAACAAUUACCAUCGAAAUUCGAGUUACGCGAGACACAAACGACGCUUCAAGGUUCACCGCGUCGAAAGCCCAUAGCAAAACGGGCAAACGCCGAGUGAAUGAUACACAAUUUGACGGGGAAAUUCCAUAUAGUAAGCAUGCAACACAGGAAACCAUUAAAAAUUGGCGGCCAAGGCAAAGAUGCUCUUGUACCAUUAAAUGAAGAGGAACGCACGGCCGGCCGUCACUGCCACAACAAUGAUCCAACC